UGCAAAGUUUAAGGUUGUCUUUUGCACACAG
This 31-nucleotide non-coding RNA is filed under the name Mus musculus (house mouse). Lineage: Eukaryota; Metazoa; Chordata; Mammalia; Rodentia; Muridae. The record is from RNAcentral.